RNAcentral lists this ribosomal RNA (489 nucleotides) under uncultured bacterium. RNAcentral's name for it is "partial 16S ribosomal RNA". It matches the Rfam family "Bacterial small subunit ribosomal RNA", at positions 28 to 507 of the family's 1533-position model. The record is from RNAcentral.
GACGAACGCUGGCGGCGUGCUUAACACAUGCAAGUCGAACGAAGAGCGAUGGCAGCUUGCUUCUAUCAAUCUUAGUGGCGAACGGGUGAGUCACGCGUAAUCAACCUGCCCUUCAGAGGGGGACAACAGUUGGAAACGACUGCUAAUACCGCAUACGAUCUAAUCUCGGCAUCGAGGAUAGAUGUAAGGUGGCCUCUACAUGUAAGCUAUCGGUGGAGGAGGGGAUUGGGUCUGAUUAGCUAGUUGGUGGGGUAGCGGCUCACCACGGCGAUGAUGGGUAGCGGGCGUGAGAGGGUGACCGGCCACAGUGGGACUGAGAGACGGCCGAGACUCCUACGGGAGGCAGCAGUGGGGAAUAUUGCACAAUGGGAGGAAGCCUGAUGCAGCAACGCCGGGUGCGGGAUGACGGGCUUCGGGUGGUAAACCGAUUUCGCCUGUGACGAAGAGUGAGUGACGGUAAUGGGUAAAGAAGCACCGGCUAACUACGUG